Piliocolobus tephrosceles (Ugandan red Colobus) is the source of this 1997-nucleotide RNA transcript. It is a transcript of the gene named serine/threonine-protein kinase STK11 pseudogene, with no coding region annotated. The transcript has a single exon. The record is from RefSeq and is a predicted model, not a curated record. Lineage: Eukaryota; Metazoa; Chordata; Mammalia; Primates; Cercopithecidae.
CGCCCGGACGCCCCCACCACCCCCCGAACGCUCGCCCGCGCCGUCGGGAGUCAGCGCCCCCCGGGAGGUCCGCUCCGUAGUCCGCGGCGGAGCGUUUGCGGCUGGGACAGGCGGCGGGACCGGGGCGUCGCCGGAGACACCCCCAGCGAAGUUGGGCUCUCCAGGUGUGGGGGUCCCGGGGGGCAGCGACGUCGCGGACCCCGCAUGUGGGAUGGGCGGCCCGGAGAAGACCGCGCUCGGCCGUGUUCACGCUUGUCCGUGGGCCUGAGGUCCCCGGAGGAUGACCUAGCACUGAGAAGCCCCGGCCGGCGUCCCCAGGGCCUCCGAGGACGAAGUUGACCCCGACCGGGCCGUCCGCCAGUUCCGAGGCCCGGGUCCCACUGGAACUCGCGUCUGAGCCGCCGUCCCGGACGCCCGGUGCCCGCGGGUCUGCAGACGUUGCAGCGGGCUCGGACUCGAAGCCGGGACUGACGUAUAGGACAAUCGUUUCUGUUGGAAGAAGGGUUUUUCCCUUCCUUUUGGGGUUUUUGUUGCCUUUUUUUUUCUUUCUAUUUUCUUUGUAAAAUUUUGGAGAAGGGAAGUCGGAACACAAGGACCGCUCACCCGCGGACUCAGGGCUGGCGGCGGGACUCCAGAACCCUGGGUCCAGCAUGGAGGUGGUGGACCCGCAGCAGCUGGGCAUGUUCACGGAGGGCGAGCUGAUGUCGGUGGGCAUGGACACGUUCAUCCACCGCAUUGACUCCACCGAGGUCAUCUACCAGCCGCGCCGCAAGCGGGCCAAGCUCAUUGGCAAGUACCUGAUGGGGGACCUGCUGGGGGAAGGCUCUUACGGCAAGGUGAAGGAGGUGCUGGACUCGGAGACGCUGUGCAGGAGGGCCGUCAAGAUCCUCAAGAAGAAGAAGUUGCGAAGGAUCCCCAACGGGGAGGCCAACGUGAAGAAGUAAGUACGACUUGCUGGGGCCGGGGCCAGCCGGGGCCGGGCCGGGCCGGGCCAGGCCAGUCACUGUGCGGAUGGUUCUGUCUUCCUUCCUUCUCUCCUCCCUCCCUCCCUUACUUCCUCUUAACACCCAGAGCUGGACCCGGCCGGCGCCUGUGUCCUCCGUGCCAGGGAGAGCUUGGUUGGAGGCCUGCCUUACGGACUUUCACUCAGGCAGGGCCAGUUGUCGCAGCCGGGCGUGCGUUUGCUUGGGCUCUUGGACGCCCUGGUAGCAAAACCCUCCUGAGAAGGGAGCGGCCCCCAAUCCCCUAAGUCUAGCCCCGUGGCUCCCCCAGCUGUCCAAGGAGCAGAGGCGCCCAGUGGAAUCAGCCUGUGUUUAUUUGGGCCCCGAGAGUUUGUGUGCGGCCGCCAGCAGGUUUUCUGCGCAAUGUGUGGCAGUUACCGGGGCCGGCAGAAAAUGUGAUUUGUUUAUCCUGUCGGAGGGGAACCCUGGGCUGCCAAAAAUAACUGCACCGGCUUAUCAGCCAGCAGGAGGGAAACGUAGCCUUUCCUCAUUUGCCAGGGAUGUGACGCUGGAAGCAUCCCUGGGCCCCGGCGCUGGCAGCCCUGCCCGAGGAGGACUGUGCCUCCCUCCCGAAUUGCAUCCGGAAGACCUUACUUUUCAAACUGACUUCUUCAGGCGUGGGGCUGCCGCUGGGCAUCCCGGACGCCUCUGCAUCUGUGCGUGGAGAAGCUCCUACCGAGGGCAGCGCGGGCCGGCCUCAGCCUCUCCCAGCUGGUGGGGGGGGUGUCCCUUCCUUAUCGCAACCAGACACGCUGCACCUGCCGUCUCCUGGCGGGCCCUGCCCAGGCCCUGCUCCUCUCCCAGUCCUCUUAACUUUCAUAACUUUGCCUCCUGUUUCCAAGAAAGGACUUUAUCUACUGGGCUAGGCCUCGAGGGACUGGCAGGGACACCCGGCACAGGGCACCAUGACCUUGGAAGGAGGUCCGGGGAGGGGCCCCUGCCCUGUCUGCUCUCACCUCCCUCCUGCUCAGGGGCCCUGGGGUUCACAUACUUCUC